CGGCCACAUCACGUUCAAACACCGGUUCACGUACGAUCACCGAUGUUAAGCGACCUUGAUCCUGUUUAGUAGCUGAAUGGGUGACCGUUUAGAAAUACCAGCUGUUGUAA
Acanthosepion pharaonis is the source of this 110-nucleotide non-coding RNA. The record is from the annotation of a GenBank genome assembly. Lineage: Eukaryota; Metazoa; Mollusca; Cephalopoda; Sepiida; Sepiidae.